UACGUAGGUGGCAAGCGUUAUCCGGAAUUAUUGGGCGUAAAGAGCGCGCAGGUGGUUGAUUAAGUCUGAUGUGAGAGCCCACGGCUUAACCGUGGAGGGUCAUUGGAAACUGGUCGACUUGAGUGCAGAAGAGGGAAGUGGAAUUCCAUGUGUAGCGGUGAAAUGCGUAGAGAUAUGGAGGUACACCAGUGGCGAAGGCGGCUUCCUGGUCUGUAACUGACACUGAGGCGCGAAAGCGUGGGGAGCAAACAGGAUUAGAUA
Molecule: ribosomal RNA, 261 nt
Filed under: uncultured prokaryote
Description: partial 16S ribosomal RNA
Rfam family: Bacterial small subunit ribosomal RNA
Source: RNAcentral